AACAAGUCGGUGCUGGAGCUGCUAGGAAAGCUUGCGGCAUUUGGAGGGAUUGCCAAUGCCGAGCCGGGUGUGAUCGCGAAUUUUGAUUUUGCUAGAGGGGAUACGCACAAGGAGUGGAAGGAUUCCCUGCGCUAUACCUUCAAUGGCGAUGGAGAUGAUCCAGCCAGGGUCGAUGUAGAGCCAGAGACCCAGAGCUCCAGGCAGAAGAUCGCAGCGAAUUUGAGGACGCUACUCAGGAAGAAUCACGACUUGACAAGGUACCUCGCGAAUGCUCUCUUUUGUUCCUCCCAGGAGCUCCAGGAGCUAGCUCUAGACGCUCUCGCGGCAUUGCUAGCCUAUGAUCCCAGCCAUGGUGGUCUUCUCCCUGGUUACAAGAGCGUCAUCUAUGGAUUGUUCCAACUCCUCCGUACCUGCCAAGCUGAUCCACUAGGAAGCAAAGUGGCAGUAGUGCUGGAUCUUAUCUGCCGCAAGAAUCACCAGUACCUGGAAACGCUACUCGAUGGAAGCGGCAGUAGCAGUGACGACGUUAUAGCAGUUCUCAUGAGCGCGCUCUCCUUUGGUUUGGACCAUCACGAUGGCGAGAGGAGCAGGCAUGCAAUGUCGAUUCUGUGCAGCCUCCACGACCAGAAGCUGUUGAGCGAGGAGCAGGAGAAAGCGCUGGACAUCGCAAAGAUCGUGGACAUGGUGACCACUAUGACGAGCUCAAGACCAAGUGACCAUGGCUUGACUGGGGAGAGCUCGACCACCCAACCCAUGGAAGGGAUUGAUGUGGCAUUAGAAGUAGCCGAGCUUUGGGGUUUAGCUGCGCGGCCAUCACACUCCUCAUCAGCUGUUCCGACGGCAUCACGGAUUCACAAUCAACCAAGGUCGGAUUUGGCAGAUGAUCUCUUGGAGAAGAGCACGCUUCAUUGGCAAGACCCCCCAAAUUCCCCACAGAGGGAAACUAAACAGAUCAGGAUUCCAGAGAUGCCGCAGCACAGCAUUUCAUUCUAAAUCUUGCUAAAUCAAAA
This 1010-nucleotide long non-coding RNA is filed under the name Selaginella moellendorffii. RNAcentral describes it as "long non-coding RNA (SMOE_LNC002217)". Lineage: Eukaryota; Viridiplantae; Streptophyta; Lycopodiopsida; Selaginellales; Selaginellaceae. The record is from RNAcentral.